Molecule: ribosomal RNA, 434 nt
Filed under: uncultured archaeon
Lineage: Archaea
Description: bacterial SSU rRNA
Rfam family: Archaeal small subunit ribosomal RNA
Source: RNAcentral
GGCUACUGCUAUUGGGAUUCGACUAAGCCAUGCGAGUCAAGGUGUCUUCGGACGCCGGCGUACGGCUCAGUAACACGUAGGUAACCUACCCUCAGGACUGAGAUAACCCCGGGAAACUGGGGCUAAUAUUAGAUAGAUAAAAGGUACUGGAAUGUUCUUUUAUCCAAAGCUUUUGCGCCUGAGGAUGGGCCUGCGUCCGAUUAGGUUGUUGGUGGGGUAAUGGCCCACCAAGCCUGCGAUCGGUACGGGCAGUGAGAGCUGAAGCCCGGAGUUGGGGACUGAGACAAGGCCCCAGGCCCUACGGGGCGCAGCAGGCGCGAAACCUCUGCAAUGCGGGAAACCGUGACAGGGGGAUCCCAAGUGCUCAUGCAUUGCAUGGGCUGUUCUUUGGUCUAAGUAACCAGAGGAGUAAGGGCUGGGCAAGACCGGUGCCC